Molecule: ribosomal RNA, 253 nt
Filed under: Staphylococcus epidermidis
Lineage: Bacteria; Bacillati; Bacillota; Bacilli; Caryophanales; Staphylococcaceae
Description: partial 16S ribosomal RNA
Rfam family: Bacterial small subunit ribosomal RNA
Source: RNAcentral
UUUAUGGAGAGUUUGAUCCUGGCUCAGGAUGAACGCUGGCGGCGUGCCUAAUACAUGCAAGUCGAGCGAACAGACGAGGAGCUUGCUCCUCUGACGUUAGCGGCGGACGGGUGAGUAACACGUGGAUAACCUACCUAUAAGACUGGGAUAACUUCGGGAAACCGGAGCUAAUACCGGAUAAUAUAUUGAACCGCAUGGUUCAAUAGUGAAAGACGGUUUUGCUGUCACUUAUAGAUGGAUCCGCGCCGCAUUA